UACGUAGGGCGCAAGCGUUGUCCGGAAUUAUUGGGCGUAAAGAGCUCGUAGGUGGCUUGUCGCGUCUGCCGUGAAAGCCCAUGGCUUAACUGUGGGUCUGCGGUGGAUACGGGCAGGCUGGAGGCUGGUAGGGGCAAGCGGAAUUCCUGGUGUAGCGGUGAAAUACGCAGAUAUCAGGAGGAACACCGGUGGCGAAGGCGGCUUGCUGGGCCAGUUCUGACGCUGAGGAGCGAAAGCGUGGGGAGCGAACAGG
RNAcentral lists this ribosomal RNA (253 nucleotides) under uncultured bacterium. RNAcentral's name for it is "partial 16S ribosomal RNA". It matches the Rfam family "Bacterial small subunit ribosomal RNA", at positions 524 to 776 of the family's 1533-position model. The record is from RNAcentral.